CACAAAGGGUGUUGGUCG
This 18-nucleotide non-coding RNA is filed under the name Arabidopsis thaliana (thale cress). The record is from RNAcentral. Lineage: Eukaryota; Viridiplantae; Streptophyta; Magnoliopsida; Brassicales; Brassicaceae.